RNAcentral lists this ribosomal RNA (1493 nucleotides) under Triticum aestivum (bread wheat). RNAcentral's name for it is "partial small subunit ribosomal RNA". The record is from RNAcentral. Lineage: Eukaryota; Viridiplantae; Streptophyta; Magnoliopsida; Poales; Poaceae.
CCACGUGGUAUAAAAAAAGGGUCUUUCUGUAGUCGUUCACUCGUAGUAUCCGAUCUGGCGAAACUCAGUUCAGUUGAGUAAGAAACGGAUGCGCGAGGUAGGUCUAGAGUAACCCAACCAAGCAUAUUUAGGUGGGCUUCGAUCGUUGAUGAUCGUUCCUUCGCUAAGAAGAGUGUUCGGAGUAGGGGCAAAGCAACAAGAGAAGCGUCGACGAGCUCUCUUAGUGGGGGUUCACAAGCUAGAAGGGGUCGAACUUCGUCGAGUGGAGUUUCGAACAAGUUGGUAGUCUUUACCGCUGGCCGCGACCGCCUCCAGUCGGCUCGCAAGACUCGUGUAACGGCUUCUUAGACGGCAAUCUGAAAGACUUUUGGUAGUGGCUGGUCAAGAGUCUGCUCGCAUUUUAGCCAUGUCCGCGUAAACCUUGACAAAUAUACCCUAAUUACGGCCUACCCGUUUAUUAAUGGCACUUCUUUGAGCGACUUUUAAGUGGUUAACGCGCACUCUUUCGUAAACGAUUGCUCCAAGUCUUAUAAUACCGAGAGGUGGUACUUUUACAUCAUUUUAACCACCCGAUGACGGUACUUCCAGUUUUCUUUCACCACGACUUGUUACCUUCUAUAUAGCACCGACUGUAACAACUUUCAAAUGAAACGGUGCUCAUGCAUGGUUCCCCUUCGGAAGUCUUCUUAGAAAAACUUGAUGUAUGUUUUUACCUGACCUUGUAUGCGAAGUUGUAUUAAUUCCCCUAAACGUUGCCAAACGUGAAACAUGUGUCGUAAGGAUAACAGGUAUACCUAGAGUUCGGCCUUUUGUAUGACAACCUACUAUUGUACCACGGCUUUUAGCGGCUAAAGCCAGAGAGGUCUGAGAAACCAGUUCUUGUUUGUGCCUACUUGUGUGUCUUACAACAACCCAGUAUACCUAUGUAUCGAGGCCUUAUAGAUAUGUCUCCACUUUAGAGGUGGUUCAGUCUGUAUAUGUCAAAUCCGGAUGAUUAGUACCUCUGAUGGUGCCCUCUCUUCUUAACAGGUCCGUUUCUUGGAAGACGUCACGUUAAGUAUUUUUUACAUGCACUUUUAACCUUUCUCGUCGCGUAGCGUAGACUCAUGGGUAACAAUCUACACCUACCGGAGGUUGUUCAUUUUUUUACGUAACUUUAUCCUGACCUUACACAACUCUAACUAGCCGACUUCUCUGGUAGGUAUCUUUGUUAAGAGCUGUUCGAUUUGCCUGCUACACGUAGGUAUUCUUUGAUUUUACAGUACGGUCCAGAGGUUAGAGGUAGCUCGUACUUUAAACCCAAAACAAGUCGUCUGUACACGUUCUACCUUACCUAUGAGGGAUAAUAACGAUCUUACUUAAUAAAUAUUUUGUCAUGCGAUACUAUACAUGCAGUAACACUUCGGAUAAUUUAACAUAAAGAGGAACAUUGACGAUGCAUGAGGUGUAUAGAGAAGCACCAUUACCUAUAAAAAUAAGAGGUCUAUGUUACA